AGGAAAUCACAGCCAUACGAGCUGCGCUCCCCCAGCUGAACUGUAUCUGCAUUUUAACAGUGGAAGAAAAGACAUUAUAUGGCAUCGCGCUCCUCCCGCAACCCUGCCAGCCUCAUCUGUCAGCCAUUACUUAAUCAUGGCCGAUAACACAGAGCACAGAGAGCUGGCACAGCGCGUGGGACCAGAAGACAGUUUCACCUCUGAGAGCAAGAGGAGGGCAAGGACUCAGGGACCUCUGAUUCAGCGAUCUACAGCUGGGUUGCUUCACUCACCAGCACCCACUCAGGACUGGCAGGCAGAAACCUCGAGAUGACCCAACCCACUGCUUUAAUCUAAACAGGGAGGUUUCAGAGACAGAAGCCAAAACAACACAUGUUAUCAACAUGGGAACAGCUGGUUUUCACAGACGUAUUAACACAAGAUCCACAUUGAACUUCCAAAUGGCUAAAACAUUCUGACCUAAACGUGUAAGUAUGAACUUGCCAUAAAGUGUUAAAUAAACAGCAGGUUGAGCGGCAUGUACAACAGUCUCCAACACAGUUUGCUUUUCAAGUCAACACCACUCAGAUAGAAUAUAACAAGUGACAUAAGGAAAAAAAUGGACUAUCCAGUCAAUUUUUCCAACUCUAAAGAUUCCACCGAGACAUUUCUCAAUGAGCUUGUUAAACAUCCUGCAAUGAGCGCUAUAAUGAACACAGCCAAAAAUGAAGAGUAGUCAUAUAAACAUAAGAAUAAAGCAAAUUCUUGAUGGCACAACUUGGAAAAACACAAACAGCAGAUCAGUUAGUCAUAAAGUAGUGACCUGUGACACGGGGCAGCCAAGUCAAACUUCCUCUUCCUGCUAAAUGUUACGCAGCUGCUUUUCUUUUUACAAACAGCAACGUAUGGAAAAGCUCAAAGAAGAGAAAGAUCUGAACCUUUCAAUUUUUUCUAGGAAAAAGAAAUGUACAAGGAACUGAUGCAAAGGAAUCUUACACUUAAUGCAUAUUUUCAAAGUGGUAUUCAGUUUUGUUUUUAGCCUUUGUGUGGAGAUUGCCUUGUUUACCUUAUAAAUUGUUUUCCUCUCUUUCACCAUCAUUUUCUUUUUGUUUUGUAGCUCUCCAACACUGUACCUCAUUUUAGUCCAAGUCCAAGGACGGUAUCAAUUCUUAGCAAAGGAAAAUUUUUCCACCAGAGGAAAAAUACAAUAGGAAUCAAGACAGAAAGUAAAUAACAACAAUGACGGAGAACAGAUAAUAGUCAGGUCUCAGAGUUCCUCCGUCAAUCCAAAUGCAUCAUGCAGGGGUCAUGUGGUGAGGUGGAAUUAACAUCCUUUAUAACUUCAAAAAGAAACAGAACUACCAGGUGGUGAUAUAUUAAGGUUUUUAUUUUAGCUAAAAGUUGAAACAAAGCGCUCUUUGCUCUGUUACUGAAACUGACCUAGAAGACAGUAUCAAUCAUUAUCGCACCCACAAGAGGGGAAACAGUCCAUUUCACUUCGUCACUUGAUAGCAUCGACAUGCCCAAACAUGAACAGGCCCCAUUAAGUCUGUGGUGGUAGCCUCAUGUGAGAGGACUUUUCAUGUAAGUGGAGUCUAUGAAGUAACUCAUGUGGGUUUAAAAACACUUCACAGUGCUUCACUUAAAGGAAUGAGAAAAAGCAGAUGUUUUGUACCUGUGUGAAAACACGAUCAUGUUCUCUGCCAUUCAGCCAGCCCGGAGAAGACCAAAUCAAAUGCUUCCAGAGACCUUCAAUCCCUGUCUCCUCUCUGUUCAUCUCACUGCAUCAGCUUCCAAGCUGGAUCACCCACAACAGCUACGCUCACUAAAUGGGCACUUUAUUUUCUUUCAGUAGCUUUCACACACUCACUGUGCUUCAGCAGGAGCAGGAACGGCAUUAAUAGACUUCUCCUAACUAUCAUUAAACUAAACUAGAUCAUGACGAUACUUGUGCAGCAACCUGCAAAGAUAGCUUCUGAUAUCAUCUCACGGCAUCAGUGCCACCUAAAUCUUAGCGGUUUGCCAAAAUGUGUAAGCCCCAGGGAUUGAUCCUUUAUGUUAAAGUCUUUUACCAAUUUAGCACACACAGCAAUGAUUGUUCUAGUGAGAAGCACCAGGAAGCCGCUGCUCUAAUAACCUAAACUCAACUAGCACACGGGCAGCAUAAGGAAUCACAAGGCUGAUGAUGUCACAAACAACUGCCCCCAAAGUGACAGGUUUGAUGUUUCCCCCCCUGUUGCCCUCAAACUGGAGUCAAGUAUGUCAAAGCUCUACAUGUGGAUUUCAUUUGAAGCAGCAUGAUUAGCGUGCAGACGCUUUACUGUGAUCCCCCCUCCAUGGGAAACCCACACUCGACGGGAAGUGGUAUGUUUUUGUUAACAACAAACAGGCAUAAAUCACAUAAGUGGUGCAACACAGCCGUAUCACUGGUCCUUACACCCAGCUGACAUCAAGAUUGCUUUUAAGGUAAUUACCAUUAGCUAAUGAUAUUUAUGUUCCUAAAAGUUUAUGUUGAACUGUGUGCCUAUAAUCCGGAACCUGUGCAAUAAAUGUGGUAAUUGUUUUGUGUCUUUUUCUCUUUUUAAAAUACUCUCUGAUGGCGUGUAUUGGGAAAAUGAAUAUGACUUUAACAGUAACUGAUCAGUCAGACCUUUCUGGUUACUUACAACAGAUUGAUGGAAAGACACUCAAGUCAGUCAGACAGUCAGUGAAGAAGCAAGUAAACAGUUGAAUUUAUCAAGAUAUG
This is a long non-coding RNA of Pundamilia nyererei, 2725 nucleotides long. RefSeq lists it as uncharacterized. The record is from RefSeq and is a predicted model, not a curated record. The transcript is spliced from 4 exons. NCBI's taxonomy places the organism in Eukaryota, Metazoa, Chordata, Actinopteri, Cichliformes, Cichlidae.